UUUCGUCUAAAAGGAAGAAGAGCGUGAAGUUGACCGGACUAGACCACAGAGCAGAAUCAAAGGAUUAAGAAUUGGAUGGAUAUUCAGAAACUGCUAAAUUUGAAAUUCCCAUUUCUCUGGGUCCUCCUCCUCAAAAACUUCAUCUUUUCACUCUCUUCUCCGUUUCUCUGCAAUUAUACCGCGAGGUUUGACAAAGUUUUUCUGGAUAAAACCAUUGAUUGAGUGGCUGAUAUUCCUGAUCCUCAGGUGGGCUGAAUACCAGUUUUCUAUAUGAGUGGCUGCAGCUUGAUCCAGCUGUUAAAGAGGCAUUUGAUGUUUCAGCAUAUAUGCAUUUCAUUUUGCUCAGAAGGCUCCCCUGGUGAAAGUUGGGAAUAUGAAACCUGCACAGAUUUUUCUGGCCAGAAAAAGAUGGCAGUUAAUCAUACCACUAAUUAAAUUAUAAGCUACAAAAUAAGACUAUCGAUUUCAUUCUCUCUCUAGGAGGUGUUUUAUUGUGCCAAAGCCGGGGGAGCUCUAGAGUUUUGAUCCACAACCUUAGGUUGUCAUUCAUCCGCAGCUUUUAUUAAGCACUACAUCUAGAUUAUAUCCUGUAAUUUUG
This is a long non-coding RNA of Papaver somniferum (opium poppy), 598 nucleotides long. RefSeq lists it as uncharacterized. The record is from RefSeq and is a predicted model, not a curated record. Lineage: Eukaryota; Viridiplantae; Streptophyta; Magnoliopsida; Ranunculales; Papaveraceae. The transcript has 3 exons.